Molecule: ribosomal RNA, 487 nt
Filed under: uncultured bacterium
Lineage: Bacteria
Description: partial 16S ribosomal RNA
Rfam family: Bacterial small subunit ribosomal RNA
Source: RNAcentral
AUUGAACGCUGGCGGCAUGCCUUACACAUGCAAGUCGAACGGCAGCACGGGUGCUUGCACCUGGUGGCGAGUGGCGAACGGGUGAGUAAUACAUCGGAACAUGUCCUGUAGUGGGGGAUAGCCCGGCGAAAGCCGGAUUAAUACCGCAUACGAUCUACGGAUGAAAGCGGGGGACCUUCGGGCCUCGCGCUAUAGGGUUGGCCGAUAGCUGAUUAGCUAGUUGGUGGGGUAAAGGCCUACCAAGGCGACGAUCAGUAGCUGGUCUGAGAGGACGACCAGCCACACUGGGACUGAGACACGGCCCAGACUCCUACGGGAGGCAGCAGUGGGGAAUUUUGGACAAUGGGCGAAAGCCUGAUCCAGCAAUGCCGCGUGUGUGAAGAAGGCCUUCGGGUUGUAAAGCACGUUUGUCCGGAAAGAAAUCCUUGGCUCUAAUACAGUCGGGGGAUGACGGUACCGGAAGAAUAAGCACCGGCUAACUACGUGC